Molecule: non-coding RNA, 93 nt
Organism: Ceratobasidium sp. 395
Lineage: Eukaryota; Fungi; Basidiomycota; Agaricomycetes; Cantharellales; Ceratobasidiaceae
Source: the annotation of a GenBank genome assembly
CCCUCGGUAGCUCAGUUGGAAGAGCGUGGGACUGUAAUUGCUUACAUAAUCACAACCAUCCCGAGGCCACUGGUUCGAUCCCGGUCUGAGGGA